Molecule: unclassified non-coding RNA, 239 nt
Filed under: plant metagenome
Description: partial contains small subunit ribosomal RNA, internal transcribed spacer 1, and 5.8S ribosomal RNA
Rfam family: Eukaryotic small subunit ribosomal RNA (bases 1-54)
Source: RNAcentral
UGAAGCAAAAGUCGUAACAAGGUCUCCGUAGGUGAACCUGCGGAGGGAUCAUUACAAGUGACCCCGGUCUAACCACCGGGAUGUUCAUAACCCUUUGUUGUCCGACUCUGUUGCCUCCGGGGCGACCCUGCCUUCGGGCGGGGGCUCCGGGUGGACACUUCAGACUCUUGCGUAACUUUGCAGUCUGAGUAAACUUAAUUAAUAAAUUAAAACUUUUAACAACGGAUCUCUUGGUUCUG